RNAcentral lists this small RNA (3999 nucleotides) under Caenorhabditis elegans. Its description in RNAcentral is "Unclassified non-coding RNA T24E12.15". Lineage: Eukaryota; Metazoa; Nematoda; Chromadorea; Rhabditida; Rhabditidae. The record is from RNAcentral.
CCCCGUCUAUUGGAAAAGACGAUUCCCAACAUGAGAUGUCUGCGGAAGUUCAAUCAAUGGAGCCAGAAGUUCAAGCUGAUUUCGCUAAAGAUUUUCAUGAUCAUGUGAGCUGUGUCAACUCAGUUGUGCCGCAUGAACCGGUUAACUCACAAGAAGUUCAAGAUUAUGAAGCUGAGGAUGAUAAUGAUCUGUCCGCCCAAUCAGUUGCACCCGUCGGUAAGACAUUGACUUUCUAAAAUUAAGGAUAUCUAGCAAAACUUCGAUAACAUAUGUACUUUCCAUUAUAACAUUUUCAGCCGAAUCGUUUUCAUCUGCAACAACCUCUGAGCCACAGGAAAUUGUAGAAAUUCAGGAGCAUCAUGCUGCUCACCAACUCCCAGCAGUUUCCGUUGCCACCUUUGGUAAGUCAUACUUUCAUUUCAGGUGGUAAAAUGUUGAAUACCCGUAAAGAAAGAAAAUAUAUUUAGCCGAAACGUCUGAUAAUAAAGCAACUGAUGAGAUGUCUAUGGAAGCUCCAGAUGAUCACCAAUUCUCCAUCCACUGGGUUUCUAACUUUGGUAAGCCCAAACAACCAGCUCCCAACUGUGAAAUGUUGUAACUUUUCCCAUCAAAACGCUCAUUUUCAGAAGAAAUAUCUUUCUCCCCAGACGGCUAUAAUUCACUCAUGGAUCCGCUGGAAACCUCUCAGUCACCAGAGGUUCGAGAUUAUGUAAAUGAAGAUGGUCAUGAUUUCUGUGACAGCUUAAUUAAGCCAAAGGAACUGUCACAGUCGACAAAAGUUCGAGAAGCUCAAGCUGAAGAUGCUGCACCAUCAGUUUCUCCUAAUUGUAAGCAACAUUGUUUAUUUUGAUGUAUUCGUUUAUGGCUUAUACAGUGCUCCACAUAAUGAUACGGCCACCCCCAAAUUUUGGUAUAACUCAAAACUGGGUUGAGAUAGCAAAACAUAGUUUCUUGUGAAAAUGUUCGCUAUACUAACUUGCUUUCAGAUAAAUAUUGGAAAUAUACCUGAACCGUUCGUAAAAAAGAUAAACCAUUUUUUCAUGAAAAACCAUAUUAAAAAAUCCACAAAAUGAUACGGCCACCCUUGGUUUUUGUUUUCUUUUUUCGUUUUCUUUGCAAUUUUUUUUGCUAAACGUUAAGUUUCAUGUUCGUUUGUGUUUUUACAGCUAUGUGGUCGUGGAAUAACUUCAACUGACUACGAAAAAGGACAAAUUGUGCCAAAUUAUCUCAAGGCUUCUCGAAUCGUCAGAUUUUUCGUGAUUUGAAACUUUCGAGAGAUAUGAUCACUCGAUAUGCUUCCAAUCCUGCCGCUUAUUGCACAAAAAAGUCUUCUGGUCGCACAUCUUUUCUUUCUGUCAGACCCAAGCGAAAAAUCGUUCGUCGUACAUCCAAUUGAACAGUGACUUGCUCGAAAAGUAGGAGCGAGAUGAACCUGGCAGUGUCUGUUGAGGCCGUACGACAUGUUCUUUUGAAGUCUCAGUUUAACAAAAGACGAAAAUUAAGAAAGGCUCCAUUCAUUACCAAAAAAACCGCCAAAACCGUAUUCAGUUUGCUAAAAUCAGUCAGGGAACUAACUGAAGACAAGAGAGGAUUACGGUAUAAUCAUUCAAGCCCAGUUUUUGGUUUCAGUUCAUCUUUUCUUUUCUCAAAUCGUGCCACUAAUCACGGUAGUGAUCUGGUUCAUCACAGUUGAACUUUUUCUCGUCACUGAAGAUGAACUGAAACCAAAAACUGGGCUUGAAUGAUUAUACCGUAAUCCUCUCUUGUCUUCAGUUAGUUCCCUGACUGAUUUUAGCAAACUGAAUACGGUUUUGGCGGUUUUUUUGGUAAUGAAUGGAGCCUUUCUUAAUUUUCGUCUUUUGUUAAACUGAGACUUCAAAAGAACAUGUCGUACGGCCUCAACAGACACUGCCAGGUUCAUCUCGCUCCUACUUUUCGAGCAAGUCACUGUUCAAUUGGAUGUACGACGAACGAUUUUUCGCUUGGGUCUGACAGAAAGAAAAGGUGUGCGACCAGAAGACUUUUUUGUGCAAUAAGCGGCAGGAUUGGAAGCAUAUCGAGUGAUCAUAUCUCUCGAAAGUUUCAAAUCACGAAAAAUCUGACGAUUCGAGAAGCCUUGAGAUAAUUUGGCACAAUUUGUCCUUUUUCGUAGUCAGUUGAAGUUAUUCCACGACCACAUAGCUGUAAAAACACAAACGAACAUGAAACUUAACGUUUAGCAAAAAAAAUUGCAAAGAAAACGAAAAAAGAAAACAAAAACCAAGGGUGGCCGUAUCAUUUUGUGGAUUUUUUAAUAUGGUUUUUCAUGAAAAAAUGGUUUAUCUUUUUUACGAACGGUUCAGGUAUAUUUCCAAUAUUUAUCUGAAAGCAAGUUAGUAUAGCGAACAUUUUCACAAGAAACUAUGUUUUGCUAUCUCAACCCAGUUUUGAGUUAUACCAAAAUUUGGGGGUGGCCGUAUCAUUAUGUGGAGCACUGUAGUUAGAAGAUUAAUAACAAAUAUUUGAAAAAUUUAUAAUUAAAAUUAUUAAAGUAAAUUCAGAUGAAGCAUCUCUUGCAAGUGACGAAGCACUUUGUGAGAUUGUUGUGGAAGUUCAAGAAGAUCGCCAAUUCUCAUCUUCUCCAGCUAGCCAUGAUGCGCCAAUAGAGCAGCAGGAAACCUCUCAGUCACCAGAAAAUCAAUAUGAUAUAGAUGAAGAAGCUCACCACCUCUCAACUCAAUCAGUUGCUCCCGUUAAAGCGUUUCUUGCAAAUGACGAAACACCACAUGAGAUAUCUGCGGAAGUUCAUGACAAUCACCAAGUGGAGUCACCGGAACCGUCACCUUCACCAGACGUUCAAAAUGGUCAAGCUGAAAUUGAACAACAAUAUUCUGCAGACUCAGGUUAUAAUGGAAAUUUUCUAGUGUAGUUUUUUUUUUGGAACAUUCGCUCUCUAAAUUAGUAACGUUUUUUUUUUAAUUUAAAAAUACACAUUUUCAGCCGAACCUCCAUUGUCUGAGUCACUGAAAAUGGCGCCGGUAGUUGAAGGUCGAGCUGCUCAACAACUAUCAACAGUUUCAGAUAUCCCAAUCGGUAAACCAUCGAAUUAUUUUCAGGCGGUUACAAAAUUUUUCAGCCAAACCAAUUCCCGUUAAACUUUCCACUGAAACACUUUUGAGGCAACAAGGAAUUCCAUUGAAUUUUCCAGUCCAUUCAAUAUUCCCGACAACUUUCCAUGAAGCGUUAUUAAAUACUUGUGCUGGACAACCAGAAAAUCAAGUCGAAAAGCAAAAUUUCUCUUUCCAAGCAGUUCCUGAAAUGCCAUCGUCAGCUGAAGUUCAAGGAUCUCAAUCCGGUCACCAAUUUUUCGCCCAUCCAGUUGGUAAGCCAACUCACUGAUUCUUAAAUUUAAAUAAGCAACAUGCUCAUCUUCUAAUAGCCAAAUUUCCAGCCGAACCGGCAAUUUCUGCAUUUGUUUAUAAUAUCUAUGCACAACAGAUGACUCAAUUCAAAAAUCUGGCAAUUAAUAAUAUCCCGGGAUACUCAGGUGCUCCCGUUGGUAAGUCAUUCACUUGCAAUGUAGUCUUUUUUUUUUCGAGAUUCUUAGAAUGUAACAGGCAACAAAAUAAUAUUACAGCCAAACCGUCUUCCUAUGCAACCGCUAAUAAUAAUAUAUUUUUGGAGCAUCAGCUGGCUCAGCAGAAUACUCAUCAAAUCUCAGGAAGUCUAGUUGGUCCACUUGGUAAGCCUGUAAUUAAUUUGAGAUAAUCUAUAAUAUAAUAAAAUUAUAUUUUCAGUCGGACCACCUUUCUCUGCAACUGCAAAUGAUGCCAUGCCUGAGAAUCAACCUGCCGGUUAGUCAUAAUAUUAAUUUUAAAUUGCAACUCUUGAGAUGCCAACGAAGAUACGAUUUUCAGCUCAACAAAAUUUAUUUUCCCAUCCCUAUGCACUCUUGGAGCAACCUCCUCAAAAGUAUCAAAAUCUUGAACAACAAUUAGUCCGCCCAGUUAUUCUUUCCAG